AUAUACAAAUACAAUAUAUUUGUAUAUACUACAUAUAUAUCUUACUGUUAAUUAACUUUCAAGGGAUUUUCCAUAAUUUAGAAAAGUUUUAAACAAAUGGAUUAUUUAACAAAAAUUGGCUAUGUGACCCUGCUAUAAGGUGUUUAAGACACCAAAAGCUUAAACUUCUUAGAUCAAAGGGCACCCUCCAGGCCAAUAUGUUUCCACUGGAAUGGUUUCUUUGCUUCCUGAUUAAAAGCUUCUCUAAUAUAUUUCCGUGUGCUAUUACAUAUUUGCAUAUUCACUUUGAUGGAAAUCAAGAAUAGUAGCCAAAUACAUAUUUCAUGCAUUCUUUUGAUUAAAAAUGAUAAAGGUAAUAUUAGUGUUUUUUUUCAUUCUCAUCUCCAAUUUAUGAAGUAGAAGUAAUUAUCCGUGGAACAGCCAACUAAAGAAAGGAAAUAAGAGUAAUUCAGAUUAUACCAUUGUUCCAUUUAUUCUUGUACCCUGUUUAUGACAGAAUACCUGAUGUUUGGGGUAUAACAAAAACAGAUGUUUAGAAUCACAGAGUUUAAGAAUGUAAAAGACUUUUGAAAUCGGCUAUUCUAACUCCCUAAUUUUUAAAAUAGACCAAAAAAGGUCUCUGGAAGGAUAAAUAGCCUAACCCCAAGGUCAUGCAUUGAGAACAACCCCAAUAUAAGAUUAAAAUUUUUUAACCCUAUUUUAUUUUUCUAUUUAAUCAACUACCUGGACAGUCAAGAUAAAUGCCACUUAUUUUACCUGUUACUAUAAAUGACUCAUAACCCUUGACAAAUCUAUAGGUAUUCAUUUCUGAAGGUAAAAAAAAAAAGUCAUAGUUUUUUUACAUGGUCAUUUUCUGUUUAACCUUAGUUAGACAUUGAAUGGACUUGAUAUAUCCUGCAGAAGAGGCCCAAUACUUAAAGACCAAUCUCCACAUUAGCUGACUAAUUUCUGCAGUUCUAGAUAGACUGUCAACUGGGAAAUUUUUUAAACAUUCAGAAUUACUAAGUGUUCAUUUUUAAAAAAUAAUUUCUUCUAGUUAUCUUAACAAUAUCUGUUACAACUGCACAGAAAAUCAUAUUUGCAUAUACGUAAGGGAAAGAGGAGAUAGUGAAGACAGACGAUAUAGAUAAAUAGGGGCAGUGAUGGAUGUCAUUCAAAUGAUGCCUAGCUGGUGUUCCCUGUGGAGUGGUAACAAAGGAAAACUACAUUCUGAGCUCAGAAUGUCAACAAAAUAACAGUUUUUUAAGGAAACUUCUAAUGAGGAUGGGACACAUGUGGUCCAGGGCUCUGUAACAGAUUCACAUUAGCUAUACUUUCUCUGCCUGCCACAAAUAUUUAAAUAGUUGUUCAAAAAAUAAAUAAAGAAUGAGUGAACCAGCAAAGUGUGUGGCAGCUGGAAAAUUUGUUUUACCUUCUCCUCAGACUUCCCAGAGGUCAUCAGAAAACUAGGGAGCAACAUCUGAUUAUGCCAACUCUUCCUACUCUGAAAACAGAUUUAGAUGGGUUUAUAAAAACUAGAUUUGUGUGUGUGUGUGUGUGUGUGUGUGUGUGUGUUGUGUGUGUUUAUGGUAGGUGUGUAUAUAUACAUAUAUAUACAUAUAUAUCCUAUCUCUAAUGCUUUAAGCAGGAAGAGAGAUGUAUUAUUUCCAUAUACAAUAUUGAGAGUAACUAAACUGAAUAUAUACACCUGUAUACUAUGUAAUUAAUUACUAGUAAGUAUGUGCCCCAUGUAAAAAUCUGUUUCCAAGUGAGUAAAGGACCUACUUCUUUAAAAAGAAUGAGCCCUAUUUCUUUAAAAAGAAAUAUGUAAAAAUCUACGUUAAAAGAAUGCCUCAAACAUAUUAGGUCUAACUUAAGCUAUGUGAAUAAGUAUUCUCUUGGCCAAAGAGCUAACUCAAAAAUUACACUAAGUAAUCAAUACAAAAAUUUUAAAACUAAAGCUUCCCAAAUUAAAAAGAAAAAAAGACACUGUAUCUUUAUCUUGCUUAGUUAAAACCAUAAUGUAAUUCAUUUUCUUUAAUUUAAAAAAUGCUCUUAAUUAAAACUUUGCUUAGUAAAAAAAUAAAAUGACAUAUUUAUAUGUCUGAUCUGCCAUAGAGGUUACUUUUGAUUACUCUCCUAAUGAUACAUUUAUAUAAUUAAUGGCAACUGUUCUCAACACUGAGACAUGCUUUAGCAAUUAUAAUUGUUUAACUGAUAAAAUCACAUUUGUGCUUUUGUUUUUAACUCUAAAUGAUAUCUGAAUGUCGUUUUAAUAGAUAAAUAGCUCUUUGCAUAGAAAUAAAAAUAGUAGACCGAAAAUGGAUAUGGUAAUACAAAGCUGUCUUUAAUAAAUCUGAUUACUGAUAGAAAUGAAAUACAUAUUUGUGACCUGGAAAAUGAACAUUAUUUUAAAGUGUUCUGGUGAUGAGUCUUUAUCGAUAAAAUAUGGCUCCCAAAUCCCCAAAGAUACGAAAAACGAACAUCAAAAAAUACAUUAAUGUUCCUAGUUGCUAGAUAAGUAUUUUAACAUUUCCAAAUACAACUGGCAUCAAUUUUUACAUUCUGUAUUUAUGGUUAAGAAUUAGAAUAUAGUUGGUAGGUUUUAACUGGUUUUGUGUGAUUAUUUUUCUUUUUGAACAGCAAUCUAAAGUGUAAAGGAUUUUAGGAUCUAAGUAAUCAUAUCAGUGAAUCCAAAGAUUAAUUCUGCUGGUUUUUAUUAUUAUAUUCAACAUAUUUUAUCUUUCUUUACUUCAUCCCUUUUGUCUACCAAAAUAUUUUAUUAAUGACAUAAUUUUGAUAGAAGUAAUAAUUAACUUUUAAAUUUUUUAUGGUGAUAUAAUCACCUUGAAAAUUGGAAAAAGUUUUAGAGCUCCUAAGUUUUAAUGUCACUUAUAUAUUAAAAUAUUAAAUACAUUAAUAUUAUCUAAAUUAAAAAGUUUGUGGAUCACUAAAUAAAGAAAAAAAUAUUUAUUUCCUUUUAAAAAUAUGUAUUUUUAAAAAAUGUAUCUUUUGUCAUAUAAAUCAGAGUUGACAAAUAAUACUCAUGAAUCAAAGUUUACAAAUACAAAUUCAAGAGAAAAAAUAAAAAUACAGAGUGGAUAAAAUACAAAUGGCUUGCAAAUUUCAUCUCUUGUACCUCAUAAUGAGGAAAAAUUACCUUCAGUUUUGUUCUCCAAAUAGCUUGCUCUGUGACAAAAUUGUAAGAUUUCUUAAAUUAAAAUCUAAUAGAAGCCAAUUCUUCGAUAUAGUCCUUAGGUAACAUUAGUUAAAACUGCUACAAGGAAAGAAAAUUUUGGUUUUGCAAUGGCUCCAAGAAACAUCAAUUAUAGGAAUAGUCCCUGUAUAUUAGACCCUAUAUUCUGUGAAGGUGUCCCAGGAUUAUAUUGCAACCUGAAGUCAGGAAUGGACUUAGGAAAGGAAAGAGUCAACAAGUGCCAGAGAUGUGAUGCAAUAAGACCCUCAGUUGCCCUCCUAAAACCUCAGCUCUGUACAUUCACAUAGCACCCUUCCAUAAAAAAUUCAGGUUUAUAGUCCAUCUCCAUUUAAGUGCUAUAUUUUUGCAAAGUGGGGAUAUAAGUUUGACACCACUCUUGCUGAAGAGUGGCACAAUAUGUCACAUUCAGAGUUCUCUAACAUUAGAAAUUUAGUCAAUGGAAACU
Molecule: long non-coding RNA, 3641 nt
Organism: Sapajus apella (tufted capuchin)
Lineage: Eukaryota; Metazoa; Chordata; Mammalia; Primates; Cebidae
Exons: 2
Source: RefSeq, a predicted model, not a curated record